GUGGGGAAUAUUGCACAAUGGGGGAAACCCUGAUGCAGCGACGCCGCGUGAGCGAAGAAGUAUUUCGGUAUGUAAAGCUCUAUCAGCAGGGAAGAAGAAUGACGGUACCUGACUAAGAAGCACCGGCUAAAUACGUGCCAGCAGCCGCGGUAAUACGUAUGGUGCAAGCGUUAUCCGGAUUUACUGGGUGUAAAGGGAGCGCAGGCGGUGCGGCAAGUCUGAUGUGAAAGCCCGGGGCUCAACCCCGGUACUGCAUUGGAAACUGUCGUACUAGAGUGUCGGAGGGGUAAGUGGAAUUCCUAGUGUAGCGGUGAAAUGCGUAGAUAUUAGGAGGAACACCAGUGGCGAAGGCGGCUUACUGGACGAUAACUGACGCUGAGGAGCGAAAGCGUGGGGAGCGAACAGGAUUAGAUACCCGUGUAGUCC
Molecule: ribosomal RNA, 426 nt
Filed under: uncultured bacterium
Lineage: Bacteria
Description: partial 16S ribosomal RNA
Rfam family: Bacterial small subunit ribosomal RNA
Source: RNAcentral